Molecule: transfer RNA, 63 nt
Filed under: Lopheros rubens
Lineage: Eukaryota; Metazoa; Arthropoda; Insecta; Coleoptera; Lycidae
Description: tRNA-Pro
Source: RNAcentral
CAGAGAAUAGUUUAUUAAAAUAUUAAUUUUGGAGAUUAAUGAUAAGGUGUACCUUUUCUCUGA